Molecule: long non-coding RNA, 202 nt
Organism: Vidua macroura (Pin-tailed whydah)
Lineage: Eukaryota; Metazoa; Chordata; Aves; Passeriformes; Viduidae
Exons: 2
Source: RefSeq, a predicted model, not a curated record
GUAGAACUGCAAACAUCUUUGCUGCCAAAGACUGAUCUCUACCCUAGCAGUAGUCCACUGCUUAUUGUGUUGCUGCAGCAAUGGGUGAGAGAACAUGGGCACACAACUGGGCUUGUCUGCUGCAGGUUUCCUUCAGCUAAUUCAGGUUUUGCAAGUCAUGAUGUGAGUUUUUCUCCCUGAAAGAAAAAAAUUGAAAAAGUCA